UUCAGAAGUGUUCCUUGUAGAAGUUGAAGCCAAAGUGUUCGCACUGAGCUUUGAUGACUUUGGCCAACGCUGGAGAACCGCAGUAGAACACGUGAACUUUUCCUUUGUUCUCCUCGGCAAUUUUCUGGAACACCUGAUCGAAGCGACCUGCCGAAGAAGACGUCAUUGAGGUCGCGAGGUCACACCUCAGACGCGGCAAUGGCGGUCACCUUCGGGCUCCCCAUCGGCCUGGUCCAUCUCCAGUUUGGUCAGGAGGCUGACAAACCACUCGAAGGACUUCUGGUCACGGUUGAUCCAGAUGAAGUCAACCUGAGAAAGCGCCAAAAACGGACGUUUGCUCCAAGUGCUGUCCAAAGUUGACCGUUGUCAUUUACCGUGGACUUACUUUGCGAAGCUUCAUUUCACUAUCCUUAAUGUUCUCACACCACGAGUAGUUGCAGUUGGGACAAUUCUGCUUCCUGCGCCGGUACCUGGAAACCCACGAGCGUGUUGGUCUCGUGAAGGACGUGGCAGCAAGGCGCCGGGAGCGAGAGCAAGUCACCUGUACAUGAUGCUCUGCAGGAUGGAGGCGAAAGGCGUGAUGCCGAUGCCCGCCCCGAUCAGAACAGCGUGCUCGGACGUAAAGAUCUGUCUGGUGGGCGUGCCGUAGGGUCCGUCCACGUAGCACUGUCGGCCGGCACGAAGCAGGUCACAUGACUGCCGUGCCAACGCGAGCGGUUUGCUCACCUUGAUGUUGCAGAAGCGGUGAUUCUCGCCAAACUUGGCAGAAACCUUCAAGCACACAAAGCGAGCGGCGUCAGUGGGUGUCGCCAGCCCAUUGCUCAUCAACACUCACUUGAUCCACCUCUCUCGGGGGCGGGGCCUCGCCUCUCUCCGCUGGGCCCGGAUCGUCCGAAGGGACGGGAAGAGGCAGCGAGAUGGCGGCGGCGGGGGAGGCGGCGCCGCUCCGGGAGCCGUUGUGACGGUACAUGAUCAGCUCCACUGCAUUGUCCUCGUUGGACGCCACCGCAGCGUCGGCGUGUGCCGAGCUGAACGACUCUUCCUGCCGAUACGUGCGAUAAUGUCAUCAGCUUUUACCUUCUUUCAGACUUCUGGGUGUAUUUCACAAAGCGACAACAUGGCGCCUCUGUGACAGCACUGAGCCUUUUCCCACCUGAGUCUUCAUCAUCUGUCUGCUCCGCAGGCUCGCCGCCAGCCUCCUGGGACUCGGCGCCGGAGUCUGCGGCUGGCGGAAAUACUCGUACAGACGAUUGGUCCACUGGCCCAUGGAGCGGAUGUGCAGCCACAGACUGUCUGCACACACACGCACACACACGCACACUCAACUUGGCCUCCCUGCCAGAGGAGAAGUGCAAGUAGACAGAAAGGAGGUCACACCAGCUUGCUCCGGAGCGCUGCUGAUGGUGAACGGGUGCCACUCGUACUUGGCGAUGACCGGAAUGUUGAUGUACACGUAAUCUCCCGGCUUGAAUUGGAAGAACUGUGGACGCUUGAUGACCAGAUGAGUCACCUGCAGAGCCAGAGUCAUCAGAGACCUCAUGAGGUGAGGUCAGACGGAGGUCACGCAUGGGUCAUCCAUCACCUUGGACGGCAGCAGGUUGACCUCCACGAUGUACAGACCUCCCAUACGGGACACGGCGAUUCCGAUGAUCUUCUCCAGCAGGAAGAGCAGACCCGGAACGACAAACCACUUCCAGAAGUUGGCGCAAUGGAUCAUAAGCAGUGACCACACCCACACGUAGGACAAGUGAGACCAGUAGAACACCUGCCGCAUACCGGACUUUAUAUAUAUAUGGAAGUCAUCUUGAAUUUUUGUUCCUUUCCAAUGGCGGCAAGGGUGCGUCCUCUACUGACCAAGUAAUGCUAUUGCGGUGCGCUUACUUCAAAAUGUCCACUGCGUCGAACGAAGGUGCUGGAGCAGAGCCCCAUGAGGCAGAUGACCACCUGAAGGACGACGCCCGUCACAGAGGCCGUGCCCUUCACCCAGCCGAUGCCGGGCCGCGUGGUCAGCAGGUACUCCCACACGCUGAAUCCGCUAUGCUGGGAGAGCUGAGCUAAAAGACACACAGGUGGCGUCGGACCGCUUGGAGGUUGAGUAUUGGCAAGCGCCUUACCAAAGUUGAAGAUGUGGGCGGUGGUGUGCACGAGCGUGUAUCCGACGAUGGCGUAACCCACAAUCUGAUGCAAGAGAAUGUUCUGGUCCAACGGCAGAACCCGGACCACCCAGGUGGCCCGCAACCACGUGAGACAGCGGCGCAGCAUCAAGACCUUGAAGGACACGCACGCAGAUGAGGCGCAUCCGACUUCCCGGCAGUCUGUACUUGGCAUUACCAUGACAAAGGUGCAGUUGAAGUUGAGGCACUGUCCGCAUCCUUUGGCCAGCAUGUAGCAGGCGCUCCCGUGGCGAUGCUGCAGGACGGCGCCGACGAAGAGCGCCAGGCUGAGGCAAGCGUAGCCGCACAGGAACAGGAGCUUGCGACUGUUGUUUUGCCAAUAUGCCCACGUCAGGUAGCGAGGGGUCUGACGCUUCUUCUGCUCCGCUUCCGGAGGUUUGAGCCAGUUUGCCGCGCUUCAGCAAAAAUGAUUCUGGAGUGAGUACGGGCGGGCCAGGAGCGGGCCGCCGGGCCGCACCCACCUGAUGGUCAGGUUCUCCAUCACCUCUGGGAAGUCUUCCAGUUCUGCUUUGAGCUCCUCAAAGGUGAUGGCGCCGCUGCGGUCUUUGUCGGCCGACUCAAACAGUGCCAGCGUCAGGUCAUCCAGUUUCUCCUCCGGCAGAGAGAUGGCGCUCUCGCGCAGGCACGACUUCAGAACCGUGCGCAGUUCGUCCGGAUCGAUAGAACCGCUCCCUGCGUGGAAGGUCGCAGAUGACGUAACAACGGCUUCACGUCGAUCUCGUUGGCCCAUUUGGUUUCGGUGGUGCCACUCACCAUCCACAUCGUAGACCUGGAAGAGGAACCUAAGCUUGUCCGUCUCGCUACCGUGGAUGAGAAGGUCCAGCGCCUCCAGAAGCUCAUCCAGGCUGAUGGAACUGCUCCCGUCCGAGUCGAAGAGCGCAAAGAAGCGCUCGGCGAAGAAAGACUGUGGCGGAGGUGGGCAGAGGGGGGGUCACGUGACACAUAGAGGGUCGAAUGAUGCCGGACCAACCUCUUUGACUUUGAGAGCCGUCUUGAACUCAUCCAGGUCGAUCUCCUUGUCGUCCCCGGCGAUGCUCUCAAACUGCUUGGUCACCCACUCCAGCCAACGUGCAUCCUCGUCCGCGCUCAUUGCCGACACCCGCCGCGUCCGUUAUGGACUGCGAUGCUACGCCCGACGCCAGCCAAAGUCAAAGUCACGUCGAGAUGGUCGGUCAUGUUUCUGCAAAAAGAGUUUUUACCUGCUGUUGCGAGUCUUCCUUAGCUGCCACUGAAUCUUGGUCAUCUUCAUCGUCAGCUGGCGGUGACAGCCUCCCCUCCGCCACACGGGCUCAUCCAAUAAGAUGGACGUGGAGGCGGGCUCUUACGUGCGAAUGUGCGUG
This is a long non-coding RNA of Syngnathus acus (greater pipefish), 3514 nucleotides long. RefSeq lists it as uncharacterized. The record is from RefSeq and is a predicted model, not a curated record. The transcript is spliced from 2 exons. NCBI's taxonomy places the organism in Eukaryota, Metazoa, Chordata, Actinopteri, Syngnathiformes, Syngnathidae.